Molecule: ribosomal RNA, 442 nt
Filed under: uncultured bacterium
Lineage: Bacteria
Description: partial 16S ribosomal RNA
Rfam family: Bacterial small subunit ribosomal RNA
Source: RNAcentral
CCUACGGGUGGCAGCAGUGGGGAAUAUUGGGCAAUGGGCGCCAGCCUGACCCAGCAACGCCGCGUGCAGGAAGAAGGCUUUCGGGUUGUAAACUUCUUUUAAGAGGGAAGAGCAGAAGACGGUACCUCUUGAAUAAGCCACGGCUAACUACGUGCCAGCAGCCGCGGUAAUACGUAGGGGGCAAGCGUUGUCCGGAUUUCCUGGGUGUAACGGGCGUGCAGCCGGGAAGACAAGUCAGAUGUGAAAUCCCAAGGCUCAACCGCGGAACUGCAUUUGAAACUGUUUUUCUUGAGUACCGGAGAGGUCAGCGGAAUUCCUUGUGUAGCGGUGAAAUGCGUAGAUAUAAGGAAGAACACCAGUGGCGAAGGCGGAUGACGGGACGGCAACUGACGGUGAGGCGCGAAAGCGUGGGGAGCAAACAGGAUUAGAUACCCUUGUAGUC